AACGAACGCUGGCGGUAUGCUUUACACAUGCAAGUCGAACGAACUGUUGGUAGCUUGCUAUCAACAGUUAGUGGCAAACGGGUGAGUAACGCGUGGGAAUCUGCCUAUAGUACGGAAUAGCCGUUGGAAACGACGAUUAAUACCGUAUAUCUUCCCAGGAAGAAAGACUUGUCGCUAUAGGAUGAGCCCACGUUAGAUUAGUUUGUUGGUAGGGUAAUGGGCCUACCAAGACUACGAUCUAUAGCUGGUUUGAGAGGAUGAUCAGCCACACUGGAACUGAGAUACGGUCCAGACUUCUACGGAAGGCAGCAGUGAGGAAUAUUGGACAAUGGGCAAAGCCUGAUCCAGCAAUACCGCGUGAGUGAUGAAGGCUUUAAGGGUUGUAAAACGUCUUUACAGUUAGGGAUGAUAAUGACGGUACCUACAGAAGAAGC
This 434-nucleotide ribosomal RNA is filed under the name uncultured bacterium. RNAcentral's name for it is "bacterial SSU rRNA". It matches the Rfam family "Bacterial small subunit ribosomal RNA", at positions 29 to 491 of the family's 1533-position model. The record is from RNAcentral.